AAUAGGAGAAUGACAAAUCAUAUUUUUCUUUCUGAUUUGCAGUCUUUUCCUCCUAAAAAGUUCAAAUCCAACUAAGAAUGCUAAAAAUCAAGAGGAAAAAUCUGACUUGUCAUUCUCCUAUU
Molecule: microRNA precursor, 122 nt
Organism: Gossypium arboreum
Lineage: Eukaryota; Viridiplantae; Streptophyta; Magnoliopsida; Malvales; Malvaceae
Rfam family: MIR7504 microRNA precursor family
Source: Rfam